Molecule: RNA transcript, 1825 nt
Organism: Triplophysa dalaica
Lineage: Eukaryota; Metazoa; Chordata; Actinopteri; Cypriniformes; Nemacheilidae
Exons: 7
Source: RefSeq, a predicted model, not a curated record
CCUCAAGGUACAACGACGCUCUCUGACAAAGAGAAUCAGCGCUCGCUCGAUGUGUUGGUGCGGCGCGAGCCGCCAUUUCACAACCGCAUAUGAUUUUAUAAACGUGUGAUUGUUUCGCAAAGUAAAGCAAAUAACGCGGAAUCAUUAAGGUUGUUUUAGAAGACCUCGCGAUAUCUGAAGGUUUUAAAGAUGGAAGCUGAACCUGAGCAGGUGGAAGAGACUAAAGAGGUGAUGGAGGUCACAGAAGCAUCUUCACAGGAAGACGCUGUAUCUGAAAGCAAAUCCAGGGGUCGUGGAACUAAGAGCCGUGGCAGAGUUGGACGGAUGGGCCGAGGAGGUCGUGGCGGGCGAGGAAUGAUGAUGAAAGGGUUCAGACCGCCGGGUCACAUGAGAGGCAGAGGCCGUGAUGGCUUUACAAAUGGAUUUGGGCCCAUGAGGCGGGGCAUGGGUAGAACAAGGCCUUAUCCGGACAUGCGUGGACGGAGAGGUGGUCCAAUGGGAAUGUACUUGGGUCCGCCCCCUCCUCCACCGCCCCCACCCAUGCACAUGAGAGGACCUCCACCUCCAAUGCACAGAAUGUCUGGCGUCUAUCAUUACAGGCAUGGCCCGCAUGGCCCGCCUCCCCCUCCACCGCCGGGACACCCGGGUUUCAGAGGGCGGCCUCCACACCCGAGGGGGCGGAACAUGAUGCCUCCCGGUCCUCCGCGAUUUUUCCAUCCCCGAGGGGGUUAGACACCCUUUUGGAGGGCAGCCGGACAUGCAGGAGGCAGAACGCUCCCAUCUGCUCACCUCGCUGAUGUCACUCACCUCUUUCUCUCACAAGGUGAGUGUCUCUGUGUGUUUAUCUAAACUGGAUUGAGGGGAGCUACCAGUUAGUCAGUCUUCAGACUGGAGUUCUUCAGACGACCACACUUGACAAACCUGUUACAGAACCUCAAGGCUGUUUAUAAAGAACAUGACCUGUUUGUUCUUCAACUUCAUUCCCACCGUAAAGAGAAGUUAGCAGGUGCAUGUUUCAGUUCAAGUACAAAAGAGACCUUCAUGGGGGUUAAGAGUUUGUCUAGUAGGUUCUGCAAGUGUGCCGUCUGAGGAAUCCAAAAUGCUGCAGUGAUUUAAACUGCCAUAAAGAUGAACAGGUGUGGGCUAAAUAAGUGGGAGUCUGAUUUUUCAAAGGUUCAUUUGUUAGACAUUGAAGUCCCAAAAAAUCCACCCUCACUUACUAUGAAAUGCUGUUGUUAUGUUAUAUUGCAGUUUCAUUCUGGAGGACAGAACUGUGAAAUAAUGACUGCUUUAAACAUUUGACUUUUCCAGUAGUUACAGAUGUAUAACCCCAUGUGACCACAAGCUCUGAUCCUCCCUGUUAUAAGUUGAUGCUCUGCUAUUUUGUUUCAUCUAAUGUGAGGAAGUGAGAGAGCGUGCGGGUCAUUUGACUGCUUGAGUUCAGAGGAAUCAGUCAUUUUAUUGGUGCUGCAGGACUGCGCAGAUGCAGACAGAACCACAGGAGCAGAUGCAUGAGCUGAAGCCAGAACGUAAGUGACGCAUUCUUCUGGUUGAUUCGUUCAUACGAACAGCCACUCUUUGUGUUUAUUAAAGGGAAGACUUGGGUCAUUUGGGCUUGCUGUUUUUUCUUCUAUACACAUCGUGGAUUUCUUCUGGUGUGAUCUCUGCUAAUAGGUGCUGUUGCCUGAUCUACUGUAAUAGUUGAACAUUUCACUGAUCUAAGAUCAGAUCAGGUUCCCCUUGGGUCGGUUCGGAGUUCUUUGAAAUGCUGCAGGUUAUAUCAUGACAGACGUCUCCUCAUAUGACCCUCAUGGACUGGACGGCU